UCCACCAGCGGCUCUAACAUUGAAGGAGUUAAUUCACUGACUCCGCCCCAGAAUCACAGAUUCCCACUGAAGCGAAGCGACAGAAGCAAAGUCAUUUCAGGACUAUUUACUUUCCAUCUGUUUGAGGUGUUUACCACGCUUGUACCAGUUUGGUUGAGGAUGAAUCUCCAGUCGUCAGCCUAACCUCUCCUUUCCGAUCCCUCCAUGGAUUCUUCGAAGAUUCAAGCUCCAAAAAUGGUUAUAGACCUACACUGGCUGUCCUACUCAGAGACUGAAGACUAUCCGAUGCCGUAGAGGAGCAUAUUGGUGUCUCCGGCCAAACUUCACGAACAGCCCAACAACCUGAAGACAAUCUGUUAGUGAGUGGACAUCUCUCUGGUGGAGUGCAGAGAGGAACUGAUUCUUA
Molecule: non-coding RNA, 406 nt
Organism: Poecilia reticulata (guppy)
Lineage: Eukaryota; Metazoa; Chordata; Actinopteri; Cyprinodontiformes; Poeciliidae
Source: RefSeq, a predicted model, not a curated record